GCAAGUUGAGCGCUGAAGGUUGGUACUUGUACCGACUGGAUGAGCAGCCAACUUGGUGAGUAACGCGUGGGGAAUCUGCCUUUGAGCGGGGGAUAACAUUUGGAAACGAAUGCUAAUACCGCAUAAAAACUUUAAACACAAGUUUUAAGUUUGAAAGAUGCAAUUGCAUCACUCAAAGAUGAUCCCGCGUUGUAUUAGCUAGUUGGUGAGGUAAAGGCUCACCAAGGCGAUGAUACAUAGCCGACCUGAGAGGGUGAUCGGCCACAUUGGGACUGAGACACGGCCCAAACUCCUACGGGAGGCAGCAGUAGGGAAUCUUCGGCAAUGGACGAAAGUCUGACCGAGCAACGCCGCGUGAGUGAAGAAGGUUUUCGGAUCGUAAAACUCUGUUGGUAGAGAAGAACGUUGGUGAGAGUGGAAAGCUCAUCAAGUGACGGCAACUACCCAGAAAGGGACGGCUAACUACGUGCCAGCAGCCGCGGUAAUACGUAGGUCCCGAGCGUUGUCCGGAUUUAUUGGGCGUAAAGCGAGCGCAGGUGGUUUAUUAAGUCUGGUGUAAAAGGCAGUGGCUCAACCAUUGUAUGCAUUGGAAACUGGUAGACUUGAGUGCAGGAGAGGAGAGUGGAAUUCCAUGUGUAGCGGUGAAAUGCGUAGAUAUAUGGAGGAACACCGGUGGCGAAAGCGGCUCUCUGGCCUGUAACUGACACUG
Molecule: ribosomal RNA, 709 nt
Filed under: uncultured bacterium
Lineage: Bacteria
Description: bacterial SSU rRNA
Rfam family: Bacterial small subunit ribosomal RNA
Source: RNAcentral